RNAcentral lists this long non-coding RNA (216 nucleotides) under Prunus persica (peach). RNAcentral's name for it is "long non-coding RNA (PPER_LNC002343)". Lineage: Eukaryota; Viridiplantae; Streptophyta; Magnoliopsida; Rosales; Rosaceae. The record is from RNAcentral.
UAGUAAAUUUACCCCCAUCAACAUUCACGCAACGUGCGAUAUUAGAAACAUACCCAUUGGAAAACUUUACAGACGAUACAAACUUUAGAAAAUCUUUUUUGUCAUUCGGUUUCAUGGAAAAAAAAUGCAAGAUCCCUUCUAGCUUUAUCACUGUCCCUGUUCAUCCAUAAACCUCUUCGUAUGCCCAUUCUUUCCAAAUCAAGACGAGCUUUGAUC